This 193-nucleotide ribosomal RNA is filed under the name Bacillus sp. enrichment culture DGGE gel band gz-40d-4. Its description in RNAcentral is "partial 16S ribosomal RNA". It matches the Rfam family "Bacterial small subunit ribosomal RNA", at positions 340 to 524 of the family's 1533-position model. Lineage: Bacteria; Bacillati; Bacillota; Bacilli; Caryophanales; Bacillaceae. The record is from RNAcentral. RNAcentral also lists the same sequence under 1 other name.
UACGGGAGGCAGCAGUAGGGAAUCUUCCGCAAUGGACGAAAGUCUGACGGAGCAACGCCGCGUGAGUGAUGAAGGCUUUCGGGUCGUAAAACUCUGUUGUUAGGGAAGAACAAGUGCUAGUUGAAUAAGCUGGCACCUUGACGGUACCUAACCAGAAAGCCACGGCUAACUACGUGCCAGCAGCCGCGGUAAU